AUUCACUAAAAUAAUAAAAUAAUAUGGCACUUCAAUGUAUGGCACAGAGUAGGUUCGAUAUAGGACAGAUAUUAUAUUGGUUCGUUUUACGUAUAGAUAAGACAAUACAAACAAUUCAUUUGACAAAUUAUCGUUGUUAAUUUUUUCCAAAAUUACAACGUAUAGAUCUGCAUUGAAAAAAUAAUCUUUGGAGGGAAACGACAUCUAUGUUCCCCACCUUUCUUCAAAAUAGUAGCUAUAACUUUGGUUCCACUGUAUUUCAAUCAACACAAUCUGAAGCAUUCCUAAUACACAACGUCUACCUAACAGUUGUAUCCCUAAAAAUUCAAAAAUAAUACAUGAUUCCAUAACCAAUACACAUGUGAUAUUUCUCGGUGAUUAUUUUCAACUUUAUACUACAUUUAUAGUUUUGUUAAUGUAAUAAUAUUAUUUACUGCGAUAUUUUGUCAUCGGCCAUGAAGUCAGCAUAUACUUUUAUUCUGGCUAUAUACUCAUAUUUCGUAUUUGAAACAGUCAUUUUGUGUGAUAGAGACAUCAGAAAACGACAAACUGAACCAACUUGCACAGAAGAGUCGGAGUACGCUUGUCAAUCCGGUCAAUGCAUUGAUGUUGCAACUACUUGCGAUGGAAUUCAAGAUUGCAGUGAUGGAUCUGAUGAAACACAAGUUUUAUGUGAAUCGACCACGUGUCCAACAUAUGGAUUCAAAUGCACAUAUGGUGCUUGUAUAAAUAUAGAGGGUAGAUGUGAUGGAGUGACCCAAUGUUUAGAUGGUUCUGACGAGGAACUAUGUUCAUCCUCGAUAACUUCAGAACCUGAAGUCAAUCUUGAAAAUAUCUCCACAGAAUCUACAACUACAGAAUCGACAACUACAGAAUCAACAACCACAGCAUCGACAACUACACCAUGGAAAACUACACCUUGGAAGACUACAGCUAACCCAACUACACCAUGGAAAACUACGGCAUCAACAACUACAGCAUGGAAAACUACAUCAUCGCCAACUACACCAUGGAAAACUACAGCAUGGAAAACUACAGCGCCGACAACUACUUCGACGCCAGAUACAAAAAUCAAACAAACUGAGUCGAUAAACCAAUCUUCCAUUCAAAAAAAAACUUGCGUGAUACCGGACAUUGAGGGUACUAAGUAUUUUUAUAAGGAUACGAUUCAAAACGUUCCUCUAUCACAUGGGUCUAUAGUGAAUAAUUAUCGCAUUGUUGAAGAGGACUGUGAAGAAGGAUAUUAUAAAACUGUUCCGUACAAAUUGAUGGUAUGUUCGGAGUUUGGACAAUGGAAAUCAGUUGAUUCCGAUAAACUGUGUUUGAAAAAGUGUACUCCUAUGGUAUCAGAUGUAUUGGAUAUUAAAUGUUCACUGAAUGGAGUUAAUGUAAAUUGUUCAAAGCCAUCAGAACCUGGUACUAUAUUAACACAAUCAUGUAAAGUUAAAAAUUCACAUAAUUCACCAAGAGAACAAGGAUUAAUAAAAGCUGAUAAUGAGUUGCUUUGUCUUAAAAAUGCAAAAUGGAAUGGUCAACUACUUACCACUUGUACUUCACGUACAGAAUCAACCUCGAAUAGAUUGAAAGAAUCAUCUGUAAUAGCACCUUGGAAUGUGGAAAUAUAUAAAAUUAAUAACUAUGGUCGUUAUUUCCGAGUAUGUGGAGGAACAUUGAUUGCUCCAAAUUUAGUUGUCUCCGCUGCCCAUUGUUUUUGGAAAAAGGGGUUAAGAAGGAAGAUCUUACAGAAUGAAAAUAAUGUUUUUAAAACUGCCGUUGGAAAAGAAAAUAGCAAUUUUUCUACAAUAGACAAUACUUAUACACAAAUUAUUGACAUCAGUUUAAUUCAUCUGGAGGAUAGUUAUGAUGGUCUGUCUGGACAUUAUGCUGAUGACAUUUCUGUAAUCGUGUUAGCAUCCAAUGUCGUCGUUAGUAAUGGUGUUCGACCGGCUUCCAUUGAUUGGUCUGCGACACAUAUGCUUUCUAAUGGAGAUCUAGGAAAGAUGUUUGGCCUGGGAAUGAACGAUAUGAUUGGCAAUGGACAACAUAAAUCAAUAUUAAAAUUAUAUACUUUACCAUAUAUUGAUCGGAAAACGUGUCAGGAAAUGUACACAGAUGGAUUUGAAAAUUACGUGACUAAAGAUAAAUUUUGCACAGGUUAUAAAUUGGGUAAAAAAAAACUAAUGUUUCUUAUAGUUUUAAUAGGUAUUCUAUUGAACGGAGUUGGAGCUCAGCUGUGAAACAUUUUUUUAAAAUAAUUUACAUUUCAUCAGUUUUAUAGACUAUUUCCAUUUGGUAUAAUACCAAUAAGCUUUAAAGUACUUACUAUUUUUACCAGAAAAAAAGUGUAGUUUUGAACAAAUAUCAUUACAUUCUCGGUUCAUUCAAAAUUCUACGAUGUAAGCAGAUCAAAGCGUACGCAGUGUUAAACAUUAAUAAAUUAUCGUGCCACGUCAGACAGAACAAAAUAUUAUAGUUUUUUUUAUUAAUUUUUAAUUGUUUGAGGCCUUCAGAAUCAUAAUAUAUCUUUACAAAGGUUCAUUUAUUAAAGUUACAGGAGAAAGAAAUCUUAUAGGAUUUGGAGGUUCGGGCCUAAUAUACGAAUAUAGCACAGGACCAUUUUUAACAGGAAUAUUUAGUGUCAAG
This 2643-nucleotide unclassified non-coding RNA is filed under the name Acyrthosiphon pisum (pea aphid). RNAcentral's name for it is "modular serine protease, transcript variant X3". The record is from RNAcentral. Lineage: Eukaryota; Metazoa; Arthropoda; Insecta; Hemiptera; Aphididae.